CCUACGGGUGGCAGCAGUGGGGAAUAUUGCACAAUGGGGGAAACCCUGAUGCAGCGACGCCGCGUGAGGGAAGAAGGAUUUCGGAAUGUAAAGCUCUAUCAGCAGGGAAGAAAAAGACGGUACCUGAAUAAGUAGCUCCGGCCAACAACGUGCCAGCAGCCGCGGGAAUACGUAGGGGGCAAGCGUUAUCCGGAGUUACUGGGUGGAAAGGGAGCGGAGACGGCCGCUCAAGGCAGGGGUGAAAGGCCGGGGCUUAACCCCGAAUCUGCUUUGGAUACUGGGCAGCUAGAGUGCAGGAGAGGUAAGUGGAAUUCCUAGUGUAGCGGUGAAAUGCGUAGAUAUUAGGAAGAACACCAAUGGCGAAGGCAGCUUACUGGACUGUAACUGACGUUGAGGCUCGAAAGCGUGGGGAGCAAACAGGAUUAGAUACCCCGGUAGUC
RNAcentral lists this ribosomal RNA (440 nucleotides) under uncultured bacterium. RNAcentral describes it as "partial 16S ribosomal RNA". It matches the Rfam family "Bacterial small subunit ribosomal RNA", at positions 338 to 795 of the family's 1533-position model. The record is from RNAcentral.